This 253-nucleotide ribosomal RNA is filed under the name uncultured bacterium. RNAcentral's name for it is "partial 16S ribosomal RNA". It matches the Rfam family "Bacterial small subunit ribosomal RNA", at positions 524 to 776 of the family's 1533-position model. The record is from RNAcentral.
UACAGAGGGUGCAAGCGUUGUUCGGAAUUACUGGGCGUAAAGCGCGUGUAGGCGGCGUCGUUAGUCGGAUGUGAAAGCCCUCGGCUCAACCGAGGAAGUGCAUCCGAUACUGCGAUGCUUGAGUGUUGGAGGGGGUGGCGGAAUUCCCGGUGUAGAGGUGAAAUGCGUAGAUAUUGGGAGGAACACCAGUGGCGAAGGCGGCUACCUGGACCGGUUCUGACGCUGAGGCGCGAAAGCGUGGGUAGCAAACAGG